RNAcentral lists this long non-coding RNA (2703 nucleotides) under Homo sapiens (human). RNAcentral describes it as "HSALNT0001414". Lineage: Eukaryota; Metazoa; Chordata; Mammalia; Primates; Hominidae. The record is from RNAcentral.
ACCUGUAAUCCCAACUACUUGGGAGGCUGAAGCAGGAGAAUCACUUGAGACUGGGAGGUGGAGGUUGCAGUGAGCCAAGAUCGCAUCACUGCACUCCAGCCUGGGUGACAGAGCAAGACUCUGUCUCAAAAAAAAAAAGAAGAAAAAAACCCAGACGUUUUUGAUUAUCACAAUUGAAGGGUAGGGAGUGCUCCUGGCUUCUAGUGGGUAGAAGCCAGGAAUGCCGCUAAACAUCCUACAGUGCACAGGGCAGCCCCCACCACAAAAAAUCAUCUGGCCCCAAAUGUCUGUAGCACUGCCACUGAAAAACUGUUCUCAUCCACCGAGAACUCUCUCUCUCUUCCUUGCAAGUCCUGGGCAAAAGGUUGUUUUUAGUAGCCCAGAGGGCCAUGGUGGUGACAGCUCCUCCCUGGGUGAUGCCAGGCUUCAGGGGGUCAGCAUCUUUGGAGGGUCCUCUAGGCAUAGACCCCAGCUUGGGCAAGCCACUUGGCUGCCCCUGCAUGGGUGACCCUGCCUGACUGCCCCUGGCUGCAACAGCCCCUUGCCGAGGCUUCUAGACCCUCAGAACCUCCCCCCUGCUGCUCUGGCUCUCAAGGUCCCACAGUAAAGCCACAGGAAUGAGAAGGAGCGAUGACAGUUCUCAUCAUCCCGUCAUCGUCACAGCAGACUGGUAGGUGCUUUACAGGUGACAAUGAGCUUUCACAUUCGUUGUCUCACCUGAAUACAUAAAAGCCUCACCCACUGUUAAAACAAUCUGAGUUCUUGACCUGCCAGACCAGUGGAACAUGCAGAGGCCACCUGUCCCCGAUGAGGGCCUGGGGGAGAGGGAGCCGUGCAUUCAUCUGGGGAGACCCCAGAGUCCAGAGCUGGGCAGAGGUGACAGCAGCCUGUCUAGGGGACCUGGGGGAAGCCAGGGUUCUGGCUGCUCCACGGCAGGCCCUGAGGUGGAGGGUCUAGACCCUGACCAGGCACCAGUCCUGCUGAAAUGAGGCUCCGGAAAUAGACGCACAUCACACUCCCUGGAGUAUUUUCUGGGCGGCCACAGAGUUCAGCAAAUAGUCAACAGAAAGCAUCUCCAAGAAGUGGGUGAACCGGAAGGACACAUGCCCAAGGCUGAUAUGGGAGGUGUUUGGGGACUUAGGGAAGAAGCAGGACAGAAAUAGGCCCAGCUCAUUAACUGCAUCUACAUAUGAAUUGCUUGACUUUUUUUUUUUUUUUUUUUCAGAGACAGGGUCUGGCUUUGUCACCCGCUGAGCUGCAGCACAGUGGCAUGAUCAUAGCUCACCAGAGCCUCAACCUCCCCGGCUCUCUGUUGUGCAAAAGGGAUUCACACACCUAGAGACAGGGCUGGAGCUGGGUGGCCAUGGGACUGACCUAGAGGGACAGCUCAUAUGCUCCACCAUUCUUGAGGGCAUCUACUUCCCAGCUAACAUGUAAAGCAAGAAAUUCAGACCAGGCACGGUGGCUCACACCUGUAAUCCUAAUGCUUUGGGAAGCUGAGGUGGGAGGAUCUCUUGAGCCCAGGAGUUUGAGACCAGCUUGGGCAACACAGGGAGAGGCCAUCUCUAAAAAAAUAUUUUAAAAUCAUCCAGGUGUGCACCUGUAGUCCCAGUUACUCAAGAGGCUGAGGAGGGAGGAUCGCUUGAACCCAGGAUUUUGAGGCUGCAGUAGGCUAUGAUCACACCACUGUACUCCAGCCUGAGCAACAGAGCAAGACCCUGUCUCUAAAAAUAAAAUAAAAUAAAUGCAAUGUGGGCAUAACAUCAUAUUUUGAGGACAUACUAUACAUUGAAAAAUGUCAAGGAAAAUGGAUAGGUUGAUAAUAUUCAAAAUAAUCUAAAGUGUGUGUGUGUGUGUGUGCAUGCGUGUGUGUAUGUGUCUUUAGUUCAAGAAUAUAUGGUGCAGGGCUGAGCACAGUGGCUCAUACCUGUAAUCCCAGAACUUUGGGAGGCCAAGGCCGGCAGAUCACUUGAGCCCAGGAGUUCGAAACCAGCCGGGGCAACAUGGUGAAACCCUGUCUCUAAAAAAUAAAAAAAAAUUAAAAAAAGAAUAUAUGGUGCAAAGGCAAAUAAAAGCAAUGUUUCCAGUGGGCUAGAUGGAGAAGUCCCUUUGCUGCCUCUCUGGGUCACAUGGGAGAAGCACAGUUCCCUGUAGCCCCCAUCCGGGGUCCUGGUACUCUGUAAAGGCUGCCAGACCUGGGGGUGAACCAGUGAUCUGGGAUGCAAGGGAGCAGGCAGUGGAAGAGACAGGAGCCAAGCAGAUACAAGUUCACCACACUGGGCCAUGCGUUCCUGGAGGAAACCUACUUCCUUCCAUCCACAGGGAAGGGACUCAACACAGAGUGUUUUUAUAAAGAGUGUCAGGACCCAAUGUCUGAAUGUGGGGGGAUAGCCCACGGCUGGCCCAAGGAACAUGUGUGGACCACCAAGCGCUGUCCUCUCUCUUCCUGUCCCCAUAUAGAGAUGAUUUGCUUUCCAAUCACAUCUACAAGUACUCGGUGUCUUUGGCCCUUGCCUGACCCCUGGUUCAUGGCAAAACCUACCCUUGGGUAAAUACCAGAUGCCCUGAUGUGGAAUGGGUUGGUGCCGCAGGAGACUCAUCUUCAGUGGAUUCUGCAUUUGAAUAUGGAAUACAUUUUCUUUUCUUUUCUUUUUUUGAGACAGAGGCUCGCUCUGUUGCCCAGGCUGGAGUGCAAUGACAUGC